UGUGCACUCCAAAUUUGUACGCAUACAGGCUACAGCAACAAAGAUUUGAUUUGAGCAAAACGGGGGUCUGAGAUAGGCGUCAGUCCGAUUUGAUUGGGUUUCCGGUAUGGACUAUCGCCACGCCUCCCUUGCCCGUCGAACGUUGGAAGAAAUUCGUCAAAAGAGAGCAGCAGAGAGAUUAAGCAAAAUCUCUUCUGGACCCGAUCUUACCAAUAUCCCUAAUGAGGUUGUGGGGAUUAAAAGAUCCGAGAGUACAACUCGACUAUCAGAGAAUGAUAUGAGUGGUUUAGUUUCUCAAUUGAAACAAGUGCAAAAAAAUAAUGCAGAGCUGGAUGAAGCAAAUAGAGCACUGGCCUCAAGGCUUCAGACAAAAGAAGCCGAGAACAACAUGUUGCAAAAGCGUCUUAAUGAUCUGGAGCAAAACACUGUAGCUUCAUUAAGAAAAGCACUCAAGGAUGUUGCCAUGGAAAAGGAUGCAGCAGUUGUUGCACGAGAGGAUCUUUCAGCUCAGCUUCGUGCAAUUAAGAAACGUGUGAAGGAAGUAGAAGAGGAACAAUAUCGGGCUGAAGAGGAUGCAGCAGCGCUAAGAGCAGAACUUAACUCAUUACAGCAGCAAGCAAUGUCCGGUCCUGUUAGUGGUGUAAAUUCAAUGAAUUUUCCGCUAGAUCAUAUGCAUGUUAUGGAGAAGGAGCUGGCAAAUCUCAAAUCUCAAUUAGAGCAAAUGACCCUGUUGAGGCAACAAGAAAGACAGCAGUUAGUGGAGGAGCAAGCGCGCAUAUCUACACUAACUUCUCAAAAGCAGGAUUUGGAAGAGAAGCUUGCUGUUAUGUCCAAUAAGGUCUCAGAUGAAGUCACCGGAAAGGCAUCCCAGAAGACAUUCUCGGGGGAAGACAAGGUGAGGCUUGAAAAGCAAUUACAUGAUAUGGCUGUGGCCAUUGAAAGAUUGGAAAGUAGCCGGCAGAAACUUCUAAUGGAGAUUGAUUCACAAUCCUCGGAGAUAGAGAGGCUAUUUGAGGAAAAUUACAAUCUGUCGUCCGCUCAUCAAGAAGCUCUAGGGGUGGCCGUGCAGUGGGAGAAUCAGGUCAAAGAUUGUCUCAAGCAAAAUGAGGAGCUUCGUGCCAUAUUAGAUAAGUUGAGGACAGACCAAGCUGCAAUAGCAACUGCAAACAACCUAAUCCAGGAAGGCGUUUCAGGAUCCAUCAAAGGCAGCAAAAAUGAAUUUCAAGGCACACAAUAUGCUGAAAUCCUCUCCAUCAAGUAUAAGACGAUAUCAUUGAUGUCCUUCCAAUUGGUUAUUCGUUUAGGGUCAGCUAGCUAAAGAGCAGAGCAAAGCAGAAGCACUAUCUGCUGAAAUCUUGCAGCUCAAUGCACGGCUCCAGCAGGCCACGCAAGCAUACAAUAGUCUCACUCGCAUCUAUACACCUGUUCUAAGGAACAUCGAGAACAGUCUCGUGACGUUGAAGCAAGAUGGCUCGGUUAGAGUCCUGUAAUAUUGAAAGUGGGUUUGUGAAGUUGAGCCAACAAUCACAUGGCGAAUGGAUAAUGAAGGCACAAAAAAAAAAAAAAGAGGAAAAAGAAAAAUCAUUAUAUGAAUUAUUUGAUACUUGAGAAAAUAUUCACUAUUUUCCUUCAUGUAAUUGCGGGGAUGUGUUUUUUUUUCUUUUUCGGGCAAUGUGUUCUAUACUAGUUAGUUGUGUAUACAUAAACUUUAUUCUUCAAUAGGGGGAAUAAAUGAAAACGUGAAAACUAUUCAUUACUCCCUUUAUCCCAAGUUCCCAACCCAUGUAUCAUACUUUUCUUAGCAUGUCCUAAAAAGAAUGUCAUAUUUCA
Molecule: RNA transcript, 1830 nt
Organism: Nicotiana tabacum (common tobacco)
Lineage: Eukaryota; Viridiplantae; Streptophyta; Magnoliopsida; Solanales; Solanaceae
Source: RefSeq, a predicted model, not a curated record